Molecule: long non-coding RNA, 828 nt
Organism: Zeugodacus cucurbitae (melon fly)
Lineage: Eukaryota; Metazoa; Arthropoda; Insecta; Diptera; Tephritidae
Exons: 3
Source: RefSeq, a predicted model, not a curated record
GUCGAAGAAAAAACUUCCGAGUGUUAUUGUGCGUAAAAGUCUUAUGAAAGUCUAGGGCUCCUUACAAAAAUAGCUAUUUAACAGUUUGAUUUUCAACAUUAACUUUACAGAAGGUUUCACACCGAUUGACUGAAUCGAGCAAUCCUACGGAAUUUUGGUUAGUUGGUAAGUCUUUAGGCCUAAUUAUUAGUAUAUAUAUAUGUAUAUAUUUGGCGUAGGAACUGCUUUUAGCGACUAUAGCCGAAUCGAUCAGAGCGCGCCUGGAAACACCAAGUGAAGCCAUGUCACUUUCCACUUGGUCUUUCCAACGGAGUGGAGGUCGUCCUCUUCCGCGGCUUCCUCCAACCGGUACUGCAUCGAACACUUUCAGAGCUGGAGUGCUUUCAUCCAAUCGUCGUAUAAAUCGUUCCAUCGUCUGCGGUGUUUGCCGUUAGCAACGUUUAGAGGAUCAUAAAUCUUGCGCAAAACCUUUCUCUCGAAAACCCCAAGAGUCGUCUAACUAGAUCAAAAUUGGACUGUAUUUGUACUGACCAAACGUAACUUAAACUAAGGUUAUGGUAUAUUUAAAAAAAAAAUUGCUAUAAUUCCGUAAAUAUUAGAUGUGAAAAAGGAACUAAAGUAUAGAGAGCCAAAAUAGAGAAUUAAUAAUCAUAAAAACUGAAUGGUUACAUAAACUAACUUAAUCAAAGGUUACGAAUAAAUUUUCUAGAAAAUCUAUAAAAGGAACUAAAGUAUUGAUAGCCGAUAAUUGAGAACAAGAGAGAGAAUAUAUGUACCUUAACGAGGGUUUACUAAGUUUCUACAGACAAAAUUAAAUUUCCUACGGGG